GACGAACGCUGGCGGCGCGCUUAACACAUGCAAGUCGAGCGACGAAAGGUCCUUUCGGGACCCUGGAAGCGGCGAACGGGUGAGUAACACGUGGGUAACCCACCCUCGGUUUCGGGAUAGCCCGGGGAAACCCGGAUUAAUACCGAAUAGCCUCUCCGGUCUUCGGGCUGGUGAGAAAAGGUAGCUUCGGCCUCCGACCGAGGACGGGCCCGCGGCCGAUUAGCUUGUUGGUGAGGUAACGGCUCACCAAGGCGACGAUCGGUAGCUGGCUGAGAGGACGAUCAGCCACACUGGGACUGAGACACGGCCCAGACUCCUACGGGAGGCAGCAGGUGGGGAAUCUUGCGCAAUGGGCGAAAGCCUGACGCAGCGACGCCGCGUGCGGGAAGAAGG
RNAcentral lists this ribosomal RNA (393 nucleotides) under uncultured bacterium. RNAcentral describes it as "bacterial SSU rRNA". It matches the Rfam family "Bacterial small subunit ribosomal RNA", at positions 28 to 414 of the family's 1533-position model. The record is from RNAcentral.